AUUGAACGCUGGCGGCAUGCUUUACACAUGCAAGUCGAACGGUAACAGGCCUUCGGGUGCUGACGAGUGGCGAACGGGUGAGUAAUGCAUCGGAACGUACCCAGAGGUGGGGGAUAACGCAGCGAAAGCUGUGCUAAUACCGCAUGUGAUCUGAGGAUGAAAGCGGGGGACCGAGCAGCAAUGUUUGGCCUCGCGCCUUUGGAGCGGCCGAUGCCGGAUUAGCUAGUUGGUGGGGUAAAGGCCUACCAAGGCGACGAUCCGUAGCUGGUCUGAGAGGACGACCAGCCACACUGGGACUGAGACACGGCCCAGACUCCUACGGGAGGCAGCAGUGGGGAAUUUUGGACAAUGGGCGCAAGCCUGAUCCAGCAAUGCCGCGUGCGGGAAGAAGGCCUUCGGGUUGUAAACCGCUUUUGGCAGGAACGAAACGGUGUCCGCUAAUACCGGGCGCUAAUGACGGUACCUGAAGAAUAAGCACCGGCUAACUACGUG
RNAcentral lists this ribosomal RNA (492 nucleotides) under uncultured bacterium. RNAcentral's name for it is "partial 16S ribosomal RNA". It matches the Rfam family "Bacterial small subunit ribosomal RNA", at positions 29 to 507 of the family's 1533-position model. The record is from RNAcentral.